This 324-nucleotide ribosomal RNA is filed under the name Isomerala coronata. Its description in RNAcentral is "partial 28S ribosomal RNA". It matches the Rfam family "Eukaryotic large subunit ribosomal RNA", at positions 674 to 944 of the family's 3401-position model. The record is from RNAcentral. Lineage: Eukaryota; Metazoa; Arthropoda; Insecta; Hymenoptera; Eucharitidae.
UCUAGCAUGUGCGCGAGUCAUUGGGACUUUUUUUCAGGAAAGCCCAGAGGCGCAAUGAAAGUGAAGAUCGGCCUUUUCGGCUUGAUCGAGGGAGGAUGGCUCAUUGUUAUUUUUUUUAUAACGACGGGCUCGCACUCCCGGGGCGUCUCGCGCUCAUUUCGAGCGGAGGCGCACCCAGAGCGUACACGCUGGGACCCGAAAGAUGGUGAACUAUGCCUGGUCAGGACGAAGUCAGGGGAAACCCUGAUGGAGGUCCGUAGCGAUUCUGACGUGCAAAUCGAUCGUCGGAACUGGGUAUAGGGGCGAAAGACUAAUCGAACCAUC